CACCUAGUGGCUUGGGACAGGGGAGGCUCACCUAGGAACCAGUCAAACAUUUGCAGAUGAAAUUAGCCCUCUGUGAGGUGCUGUGAAGAACCAGAGGCUGUGGAGGUGGUCAUUUGGCUUCCAGGCACCUUUCCCUGUUUUAACAAGUGUGAAAAACAGCAGAAGCUCAGGGUUCAGCCUGGGGAUUGGUCACAAAAGGCUCACGCUUCUUAGCCAGUCCAAGAGCAAGAACAGGACCUCACCAGCGCCCCCAUACCUCCUUGGCAUACAUAGUCACUUUUUGGGAGUGAGUG
Molecule: long non-coding RNA, 293 nt
Filed under: Rattus norvegicus (Norway rat)
Lineage: Eukaryota; Metazoa; Chordata; Mammalia; Rodentia; Muridae
Description: long non-coding RNA NONRATT031642
Source: RNAcentral